UGUAAUUCUUGGUACCUCAUGGAGGCCCAGGACCUUGUUGAACAGACAAGAAAAGUAAUCUUCACACAGGCUGGGAGUGUUGCAGCAUCCUGAUCGAGUUUUGAGGACAACUGCCACCUUGAAUCAGAGGAGAAGCUUUCGGCAUUUGCAGCUGGCCUGGCAUCUGAGAAUCUGCAGGUUACUCUUACCAUGUACUAACAAUGGAUGAACCUGGUGUUUGGAAGAUAUGAGAGAGAACUGAGAGCCUUGGUUGCUAAAGAACUUCCUCAAAUUGCAUCCUUUGUCAUCUCUGGUCUGCACACAAAGUGGGCUGGUGCUUGAGUGGAAAGCAUUCAGUUUGCAGAGAACAGUGUGGACACACACACACGCACACAGAGAGAGAGAGAGAGAGAGAGGAGAGAGAGAGAGAGACGUGAGCAAGCUUGGGAUCCUGGAAACUGCAGAGUGUGAGACUGUGGGGCUCACAGUGGAAGAAGAGAUGUUACUAGAAAGGGGGCAUGAGAAGAAGAAACAGUAAAUUUGAAUGGUAUGCAAACACCUUUAAAAUAAAAACAAAAGAAAAAGAGAAAAAUAUCUGUGAGAAACAAAUGAUCGAGCUGUACUCAGAAGCCUUCAAAAAACCAAGUGCUAGGUAAUCCAAACCUUGCCUUAUGCAUGCUGGGCAAGUGCAUUAACACUGUGCUACACCCCCAACCCUGCUACGAAUUCUUUAGACUUCACUCUCCUACUGAAGUGGGUUCAAAGCCAUGGCUGCUGCCUGGGGAAGACCUGACUCUGGGAACUUUUGUCUCGGUGGCUGGCAGCCACAGUUCACGAGCCAAGUCUGGAAUGGUUGCUUGAGUUCAUACUGCUACAGGGCCAAGGACGGUUGUUGCAUUUUGAAAAGAGCGAAAACACCAAGCCAACACUUCUCCACAAGGAGAAUGAAAUCGAGGGUCCGUGUCGGGGAGCUGGAAGGCAGCCGUAGCGCAGGUCACUGUCCAGUUGCACACAGCUGCUGCCCACUGCAGCAGCAGAGUGGAGCAGGAGCAGCUGAUUCUCCCACCUCUCCGCCCUGUCUGCGCAUCAUACACAUUGCUCUGGCCCUUGUCCAGUUGCAUCACGAAUCCAUGAGGAUGCACCUCACUGCUCUCACAGAUCAGAGCCCUCGAGGGUGCCAAACAUCUGCCACUCAUCUCGAUGUUCUCAACCCAGCACAGUUCUGGACCCAAAACAUCAUUGACAAAGAGGUUGUCAAACUGAAUGUACUUCCACCAAGUCUCCUUUCCCAUAC
Heterocephalus glaber (naked mole-rat) is the source of this 1273-nucleotide long non-coding RNA. Lineage: Eukaryota; Metazoa; Chordata; Mammalia; Rodentia; Bathyergidae. The record is from Ensembl.